UACAAGGAACGCUUUUAUGAUUGAUUCCA
Molecule: non-coding RNA, 29 nt
Filed under: Rattus norvegicus (Norway rat)
Lineage: Eukaryota; Metazoa; Chordata; Mammalia; Rodentia; Muridae
Source: RNAcentral